CAUGUAGGCGGUUUGGUAAGUCGGUCGUGAAAAUGCGGUGCUUAACGCCGUAUGGCGAUCGAAACUGCGGAACUUGAGUGCAGGAGAGGAAAGGGGAACUCCCAGUGUAGCGGUGAAAUGCGUAGAUAUUGGGAAGAACACCGGUGACGAAGGCGCCUUUCUGGACUGUGUCUGACGCUCAGAUGCGAAAGCCAGGGUAGCGAACG
Molecule: ribosomal RNA, 206 nt
Filed under: uncultured bacterium
Lineage: Bacteria
Description: partial 16S ribosomal RNA
Rfam family: Bacterial small subunit ribosomal RNA
Source: RNAcentral